UUUUUUUUUUUUUUUUUUUUUUUUUUUUUUUUUUUACAACUCCUGUUGUUUCGGGGCCGGCCGCGCGCACCCUCGCCCUCGCCCCUCGCCCCCCGCCCCCCCACAUGCUCACACGCACCCCCGCGCGCUUCCAGACACACACUCGGCCGCUCGCAGCGAUUUUUCAUGAGUGCAAAGCUCUGCUGAACCAAAGGUCACCAUCCGAGCCACUAACAACUUCUCGCCGGCGCGCGGUUCCAAAUCAGGAAGCAAAGGGAACGAUUUGUCAGCGGCCCUGACAGCUAAGUUCAUUAAGGAUUUAAAUCUCGAGAAAUAAAAGUCGCCAAAAUAUUUACCUGCUGGCCGCGCUCGCGCGCCCGCCGCGGGGGCCGGGGGUGCAGGGGGCUGGGGGCGCCGCGCGGCCCCCCUCGGCGGGUGAUAUUCUUGGGAUCCCUGCACUUUCCAAGUCGGAGAGAGCCCUUUGCGUGGCAGAUUAAUGACGACUCCGUGUUUCUUAAGGGACGUGCUGAAUUAAUUAUUUCGCCAAUCACGUGGUCGGGACUUGUAGAAAUCUAUUCUUAUCAUCUUCCUCGCACUUUGAAAAUUCUCCGGGUUAUGGGAGGCCCUCCCCCGGCUGCCGGCGAGCCCCGGCCGCCCAGCCCGGCACGGGGGGCAGGGAGGGCUCCCCAGCAUGGCGGGAAGCGCCGUCUGCCGAGGGCCCCGAUUUACUGUACUGCACUCGAGCGGGCUCGGCUAGGGACUCGCUUCCUCCUCCUCGGCCCUGCCCGCGAUUCAGUCCACACAGCGGUAUUGAUGUAUUGGUGGGCACAGGAGGAGCCAUUAGCCAGAAGACGGGCAGAGGACAAUCAUAAAAUGGGCCUGAAUAUUUAAACUUCUGUCUGCACACUUAUAAAUACACAUGUCCACGCGUCGGAGGCCAGCCCUUCCAUAUAUUAGGGACACAUGUCUGAUUUUAUGCAUUCUGCUCAUUUCCUGUCGCGAGCCAGCUCCCCCUCCCCGCCCCCAGCUAUUCUGGGACUCCUGUCUUGGCCCACUGUGCAAGGCGAGGCCAAGACUAGAGAGACAGAAAAAAAAAAAAUAGUGCACGCCACUUUUUAUAGUGGGGAGUGUUUAUUGUCGUCUGGAGGGCAGAGGGGGCUCUAGGGGGAGGAGGGGCAGGUGCUGGAGGCCCCAGUGGGGCUGAAGGGCACAGGAAAAGUAGGAGUCCAAGAUUGGAGGCCAGAGGGGUCUGGUGGGAGCAGCCACAGGCCAGUCCCACGUGGCCCAGAACCCAGGACUCUUCCAGAGUUGGGGUGGGGGGUGGCGGGUGGGCAGGGAAGUCUCUCACCCACCACAAAGCAAAGAGAGACUCAGGGGGUCUGGGGGGGGGGGCGCUACACUGGGCCACACAGAGAGCCAACCUGGAGCCUCCUGUUAGCCUAGGAAGUUACUUAUUUUCCUUUCAAAAAAUAAUGCCCUGCAGCCUGAAUCCCAGCAUAGGCUUCCCAAUGCUCACGGAAUACGGUGGCCAAAUUGGGAGUGUGCAUGUGUGGGGGACAGGUUAAUGACAGAUUUGCUAACCCUUCCACGGUUUGACCUUCACAUGUCAGGCAUGAUGCAGAAAUUCGUAAAAUAAACUGUUUAUAUCGAAUGUUAAGGCUUUUAGAAGACUUAAUGAAGAAUGCUUCUGUGGAGGCACCAAACAGGAUGGAAGUUUCGCUACACCUUUUAUUAUUUCAAAUAUAGAUCAAUGAAUUACAUCAAAACUACAGGCAACAAUUAGUAUAAAUAAUACUUUAAUCAGUGGCAGCAGAACAUUGGUCAAUUCUAUUAAAAAAGCAUCUUGUGUGAACAGACACCAUGGGGCUGACUGACAAUGUCAUCUCCCAACAAAAGGCUGCAAUGGACAAAGUGAGAUGGGAGUCUGAGGAGCCAUGUCCUCAGCAAACACUUCACUCCUCCCCAGUCACGACCCCAACACAGCUUUAAGGAAAAAAAAAAAAAAAAAACACACAAACCACCAAAACAAACACUUCUGGCUCAUAUUUGGGGGAACAAACUGGAAACAAAUAAAAGCAAAUGGGCACUGUGCCUUUCCACAUCUAGGUUUCUGCAGAGUACGUUCCCAGAUGGAAACUCAUUUCCUUCCCUGCCCUAGGUGGUGGUGGUUGGUGGGGUGGGGGGGUGGGGGGUGGGAGGCACUACUUCUUCCCUGCCCCACUCCUGUGGGCCCAAAUGGACACCAGGGUCCGAUUGGGACCACAGGGUUGAAGGCUGCCCCCUGGGCCAUCCAGGCUCCAUUAACAUUUCAAAAGACAAUCCCUGGAAACUGAGGAGAACUGAGACUUAUAAACAAAGAAGUUGUUUCUCUGAUUUAGUUACUUUUCAAAGUAGUGGAGCUAUGUUUGAGAAGGAGCUUGGGUUUUCUUCAUCAAAACAUGCCUCUUGGCUUUCCUCUGGGGGCAUGGGUGAAGGCUGCUACAUAGUUUUGGCAUUUGGUCUGAAGCUGGGGUGAAUAACCUGAACUUCUGGGAAGGGGGAAAUCUAUAUAAUAAUCUUUAUAAUAUACAUGUAGUUGGGUGUUGUGAAAAUAUAUACUUUCCCCGCCCCCUCUCCCAAGGAGAAGGUUCAAUAUAUUCACAGGUUUGGGCUUGAGGAAAGAAUCUUAGCAACUUUCCAACUUGCCUAACGAUAGCGGCUCUUUUCAAAUGCUACAUCCAAAGACUGCUCUCCAUGUUAGAGGGGAAAAAAAAGAAGAGAAGGGUAGUUAGAGUCCAAAAGGUUAAGGGUUUAGAGGUCAGUCCUCCCGGCUGAAAUACAGCUAAUCGAAUAGAAAAUUUGUCCUCUGGAUGAACCUGAUUCUGUAAUUUAGCCGAACUUCAGUAAAAUACCUUUUCAGCUUCUCAACGUGAGGGCGUCAGAAAAAAGACGUCUUGACUAUGUAUGAACUCUUUGCUUUUUGUCAUAGAAACAAUGAUGCGAAUAAUGCAGGAAUAUCCAUCUUUAAUAUCCCGACGUGGCGAUAUUCAAGUAUUGCCAUGUGCAAGUCUGAGAGCCAGGCUCACCCCAAGGAGGAACAAAGAGCUGUCCCCAGGGUCUAAUACAAAAGACCAAGGCUUGGAAGAUACUUUAGAGAAGUGGAAUUUCAGCCUAGGGACUCCAGUGAAUACCUGCUCUUAGCUCUCAGGAGACACCAAAGAACAUGCGUGCAGAAAAAGUCUUUUUUCUCCCUCCAUUUAAAUAUAUUUUUAAAAAAAUUCUCUCUGAACCUUCUAAAGUGUUUUGAAGCACUGGUUAAAAUUAAAAAAAAAAAAAAAAAAAA
RNAcentral lists this long non-coding RNA (3301 nucleotides) under Canis lupus familiaris (dog). Its description in RNAcentral is "lncRNA (ENSCAFG00845019097.1)". Lineage: Eukaryota; Metazoa; Chordata; Mammalia; Carnivora; Canidae. The record is from RNAcentral.